This is a non-coding RNA of Gallus gallus (chicken), 106 nucleotides long. The record is from RefSeq and is marked provisional. Lineage: Eukaryota; Metazoa; Chordata; Aves; Galliformes; Phasianidae.
CGUUACGCCCCGCGCCGUGCCCGGAGGAGCCCGGCGCUGCCUUUCUACGCGGCCGCCGCGCCGAUUGUCUCCUCCGGGCACGGGGGAUGUCCGCGGCCCCGCUGCG